Molecule: ribosomal RNA, 492 nt
Filed under: uncultured bacterium
Lineage: Bacteria
Description: partial 16S ribosomal RNA
Rfam family: Bacterial small subunit ribosomal RNA
Source: RNAcentral
AGUGAACGCUGGCGGUAGGCCUAACACAUGCAAGUCGAACGGCAGCACAGUAAGAGCUUGCUCUUACGGGUGGCGAGUGGCGGACGGGUGAGGAAUACAUCGGAAUCUACUUUUUCGUGGGGGAUAACGUAGGGAAACUUACGCUAAUACCGCAUACGACCUACGGGUGAAAGCAGUGGAUCUUCGGACCUUGCGCGAUUGAAUGAGCCGAUGUCGGAUUAGCUAGUUGGCGGGGUAAAGGCCCACCAAGGCGACGAUCCGUAGCUGGUCUGAGAGGAGGAUCAGCCACACUGGAACUGAGACACGGUCCAGACUACUACGGGAGGCAGCAGUGGGGAAUAUUGGACAAUGGGCGCAAGCCUGAUCCAGCCAUACCGCGUGGGUGAAGAAGGCCUUCGGGUUGUAAAGCCCUUUUGUUGGGAAAGAAAAGCAGCAGGUUAAUACCCCGCUGUUCUGACGGUACCCAAAGAAUAAGCACCGGCUAACUUCGUG